Molecule: ribosomal RNA, 301 nt
Filed under: uncultured bacterium
Lineage: Bacteria
Description: partial 16S ribosomal RNA
Rfam family: Bacterial small subunit ribosomal RNA
Source: RNAcentral
CAGUAGCCGCGGUAAUACGUAGGGUCCGAGCGUUGUCCGGAAUUACUGGGCGUAAAGAGCUCGUAGGUGGUUUGUCGCGUUGUUCGUGAAAACUCACAGCUCAACUGUGGGCGUGCGGGCGAUACGGGCAGACUAGAGUACUGCAGGGGAGACUGGAAUUCCUGGUGUAGCGGUGGAAUGCGCAGGUAUCAGGAGGAACACCGGUGGCGAAGGCGGGUCUCUGGGCAGUAACUGACGCUGAGGAGCGAAAGCGUGGGGAGCGAACAGGAUUAGAUACCCCUGUAGUCCCUGUCUCUUAUAC